GUGAAUAUAGUCGAAUGGUAAAAUUUCUCUUUGCCAAGGAGAAGACGCGGGUUUGAUUCCUAUUAUCCGUC
RNAcentral lists this transfer RNA (71 nucleotides) under Ricinus communis (castor bean). It matches the Rfam family "tRNA". From Rfam's summary of the family: Transfer RNA (tRNA) molecules are approximately 80 nucleotides in length. Their secondary structure includes four short double-helical elements and three loops (D, anti-codon, and T loops). Further hydrogen bonds mediate the characteristic L-shaped molecular structure. tRNAs have two regions of fundamental functional importance: the anti-codon, which is responsible for specific mRNA codon recognition, and the 3' end, to which the tRNAs corresponding amino acid is attached (by aminoacyl-tRNA synthetases). tRNAs cope with the degeneracy of the genetic code in two manners: having more than one tRNA (with a specific anti-codon) for a particular amino acid; and 'wobble' base-pairing, i.e. permitting non-standard base-pairing at the 3rd anti-codon position. The record is from Rfam by way of RNAcentral. Lineage: Eukaryota; Viridiplantae; Streptophyta; Magnoliopsida; Malpighiales; Euphorbiaceae.